ACGAACGCUGGCGGCGUGCCUAAUACAUGCAAGUUGAGCGAUGAAGAUUGGUGCUUGCACCAAUUUGAAGAGCAGCGAACGGGUGAGUAACGCGUGGGGAAUCUGCCUUUGAGCGGGGGACAACAUUUGGAAACGAAUGCUAAUACCGCAUAAUAACUUUAAACAUAAGUUUUAAGUUUGAAAGAUGCAAUUGCAUCACUCAAAGAUGAUCCCGCGUUGUAUUAGCUAGUUGGUGAGGUAAGGGCUCACCAAGGCGAUGAUACAUAGCCGACCUGAGAGGGUGAUCGGCCACAUUGGGACUGAGACACGGCCCAAACUCCUACGGGAGGCAGCAGUAGGGAAUCUUCGGCAAUGGACGAAAGUCUGACCGAGCAACGCCGCGUGAGUGAAGAAGGUUUUCGGAUCGUAAAACUCUGUUGGUAGAGAAGAACGUUGGUGAGAGUGGAAAGCUCAUCAAGUGACGGUAACUACCCAGAAAGGGACGGCUAACUACGU
This 495-nucleotide ribosomal RNA is filed under the name uncultured bacterium. Its description in RNAcentral is "partial 16S ribosomal RNA". It matches the Rfam family "Bacterial small subunit ribosomal RNA", at positions 29 to 506 of the family's 1533-position model. The record is from RNAcentral.